GUAGACUCUACCAACCCCAAGAUCACAGCCCUGGCAUUGGCAGGGUCUUCAGAGGCCAUCUUGACUGCCUCCCUCACUUCAAAAGAAGACACAAGCAGACCUGUUCGGUGACUGGCUGAGGCUCCAGAGCCAGUCCCCAGGAGAGGGACCCUCUGAAUGACAGACUUCCAAACUCACAUCCAGGUCCACCUCUUCCGACAGGCAUUCAGAUGCCUGCUAGAUCCAUUAAGACAGUAGAAAGGCCUACAAGUCAACAUGGAGAAGAAGAUCAUUCCUGGAUGAACAGCCUCUUCAAUUCAAGGAGAUUGAAAAAAUGGCAGGUGGAGGCUCUGACUUUCUCCCUGUCAAGGGCCCCUGAUCAAUGGAUCCAUGAUUGUAUGAGGUUGUGUAUCCUCCAUGGACCGCAGGUAACUCAUCCACACAACUUACACGGGCUGUGCUGUACCUGCCCAUGUCUUCCCACCCUGAGUUUCCACGGAUGGCUGUGCUGCCGAGGGGCCCAGCUGCCUCUGGUCCUUCCAUCUCUGCCUGGCAGCCUGACUCUCUCUCUCCAGCCUGGGUUGACCGGAUGAUAUCCUCACACAUCCUGAAUUAAAGGCUUCAUGGCUAAAAUGCUGGCUUUCAACUCCACUUUGGAAGGACCAUAGUUUUGAUUCUUUGGAAAUUGCAAAAUACAUUUUCUUUUAUUCAAUUCUUGUUGUUCAGUUCUUUAAUCCUGUCUGACUCUUCAUGAUCCCAUGGAUCAUUACUGUCCUUGGGGUUUUCUUAGCAAAGAUACUGGAGUGGUUUGCCAUUUCUCUCCCCAGUGGAUUAAGGUUAAGAGACUUGCCCAAGGUCAAACAACUACUAAGUGUUGGAGGCUGGAUUUGAACACAGGUCUUCCUGACCCCAGAUCCAGAGCUCUAUCCAUUUAGCCACCUAGCUGCCUCCUGUUCACUUCUAGAUCCAGAUAACUAUUAAGCUAAGAAUCAAGGGCUUAGUGUGUCUACUGUAUGAAGGAAAUUCCUCUCAUAUGGAGGAGGGAGACAACAUCUGAUGUCCAAAAUAGAUACCAAG
Molecule: long non-coding RNA, 1056 nt
Filed under: Monodelphis domestica (gray short-tailed opossum)
Lineage: Eukaryota; Metazoa; Chordata; Mammalia; Didelphimorphia; Didelphidae
Description: lncRNA (ENSMODG00000051519.1)
Source: RNAcentral